CUCCCAGUGUCCCCAAGUGUCUGUGUUCCCAUGCCUCCCAGCCAGUGUCCCUAGUGUCUCAGUGUCCCCAUGUCUCCCAGUGUCCUCUAGUCUACCAGUGUCUGUGUUCCCAUGUUUCUCAGUGUCCCUAGUAUCUUAGUGUCCCCAAAUGUCUGUGUCCCCAUGUCUCUGUGUCCCUAGUGUCUGUCCCCAUGUCUCACUGUGUCCCCAUAUCUCUCAGUGUCCCCUAGUAUCCUAGUGACACAGGACACACUGAGACAUGGGGACACUGGGAGCAAUGAGGACACAGACACCUGGAGACUAGUGGACUGAGUGACAUGGGGACACACUGACACUGUGAUACAUACGGACACUGAUGCCAGGCUGGUCUUCCAAUUCUUUGGGCAGACAUGCCCCCUUUUUGGGCAUUGUCGCUGCUUUUGGCUUUUCUGGUCAAGUGAUUCGUGUCAGUAGCCCACCCUUUUACACCGCCCAUUGACUUCCUGCUUCACUGGACAC
Non-coding RNA from Pelobates cultripes (western spadefoot toad), 498 nucleotides. Lineage: Eukaryota; Metazoa; Chordata; Amphibia; Anura; Pelobatidae. The record is from the annotation of a GenBank genome assembly.